CAUGCCUACGGGGGGCAGCAGUAGGGAAUUUUCGUCAAUGGGCGCAAGCCUGAACGAGCAAUGCCGCGUGAACGAGGAAGGUCUUCGGAUCGUAAAGUUCUGUUGAAGGGGAAAAAGAGCGGAGAGAGGAAAUGCUUUCUGAUUGAUAUUACCCUUCGAGGAAGUCACGGCUAACUACGUGCCAGCAGCCGCGGUAAUACGUAGGUGGCGAGCGUUAUCCGGAAUGAUUGGGCGUAAAGGGAGCGUAGACGGUAGAGCAAGUCUGAAGUGAAAGCCCGCGGCUCAACUGCGGGACUGCUUUGGAA
This 305-nucleotide ribosomal RNA is filed under the name uncultured bacterium. RNAcentral describes it as "bacterial SSU rRNA". It matches the Rfam family "Bacterial small subunit ribosomal RNA", at positions 334 to 631 of the family's 1533-position model. The record is from RNAcentral.